UCUAAAAGUGAAAAAUCGAGUUGGUUCAGAGCGAAACGUGUAGAAUUUUAUCUGCGAAACACGUAGGAUCGAUAAAGUAAUCGAUUUUCCCAACCAGUACUGAAUUGUCAGAAAGAGGGUAUUUUUCAAAUGUCAUAAAAAGGGUACUUAAUCCACAUAAAGAAGUUUCCAUUCGUUUACUAAUCAUGGGUACAUAAUACGCACGAUACUUUGACGAGCAGCAUCGCCAUUUUCAAGUUGACUUUGCGGUGGCGUUUUUUUGUGAACUAAAAUUUAGUUCUGAAUGUUUAAUAUUCUUUUUCGACUCUGAAACUAUUCGUAUAUGGGUAUGGAUUCGGAUCUACACCCUUCUAGCAAAAAUAUUUGAAAUAUCAUUUCAAGAUCGAACUGUGGCGCAACAACUUCCGAGGCCGAUGGCCGAUGUGCAAGGCUGCAAUUGGCGGGGGAGAGUAUCGGGAUUCGGGAAAGUGUCCUGGAAUUGGUUGGCUGCGGUGCAUUGAUUGAUCUUUAGUGUCUAGUUUAAAAAGUGCAUUUCACGCAAUAAAUAAAAUUAUGAUUGUAAUAAUGUAUAAACAUAAUAUUUCAAAUAAAAUAUAUGCAUUGUUUCAUUUGCGUGCGUUUGAUAA
Long non-coding RNA from Aedes aegypti (yellow fever mosquito), 626 nucleotides. RefSeq lists it as uncharacterized. The record is from RefSeq and is a predicted model, not a curated record. The transcript has 2 exons. Lineage: Eukaryota; Metazoa; Arthropoda; Insecta; Diptera; Culicidae.